RNAcentral lists this ribosomal RNA (181 nucleotides) under uncultured Eubacteriales bacterium. RNAcentral's name for it is "uncultured Clostridiales bacterium partial 16S ribosomal RNA". It matches the Rfam family "Bacterial small subunit ribosomal RNA", at positions 153 to 334 of the family's 1533-position model. Lineage: Bacteria; Bacillati; Bacillota; Clostridia; Eubacteriales. The record is from RNAcentral.
AAACCGGGGAUUAAUACCGCAUGAUAUCGUAGAAACACAUGUUUUAACGGUCAAAGAUUUAUCGGUCAUAGAUGGGCUCGCGUCUGAUUAGCUAGUUGGUGAGAUAACAGCCCACCAAGGCGACGAUCAGUAGCCGGUCUGAGAGGAUGAACGGCCACAUUGGAACUGAGACACGGUCCAA